GAUGAACGCUGGCGGCGUGCUUAACACAUGCAAGUCGAACGGAAAGGCUCCUGCUUGCAGGGGUACUCGAGUGGCGAACGGGUGAGUAACACGUGGGUGAUCUGCCCUGCACUUCGGGAUAAGCCUGGGAAACUGGGCCUAAUACCGGAUAGGACCACAUUUUGGAUGGUGUGGUGGAAAGUUUUUCGGUGUGGGAUGAGCUCGCGGCCUAUCAGCUUGUUGGUGGGGUAAUGGCCUACCAAGGCGUCGACGGGUAGCCGGCCUGAGAGGGUGUACGGCCACAUUGGGACUGAGAUACGGCCCAGACUCCUACGGGAGGCAGCAGUGGGGAAUAUUGCACAAUGGGCGCAAGCCUGAUGCAGCGACGCCGCGUGGGGGAUGACGGCCUUCGGGUUGUAAACUCCUUUCGCUAGGGACGAAGCGCAAGUGACGGUACCUGGAGAAGAAGCACCGGCUAACUACGUG
Molecule: ribosomal RNA, 465 nt
Filed under: uncultured bacterium
Lineage: Bacteria
Description: partial 16S ribosomal RNA
Rfam family: Bacterial small subunit ribosomal RNA
Source: RNAcentral